UGUGUAGGCGGUGCUCCAAGUCUGGUGUGAAAUCUCCCGGCUUAACUGGGAGGGUGCGCCGGAAACUGGAGUGCUAGAGGAUGGGAGAGGUAAGCGGAAUUCCUGGUGUAGCGGUGAAAUGCGUAGGUAUCAGGAGGAACACCUGUGGUGUAGACAGCUUACUGGACCAUUUCUGACGCUGAGACACGAAAGUGGGUGGGUACAAACAA
Molecule: ribosomal RNA, 209 nt
Filed under: uncultured bacterium
Lineage: Bacteria
Description: partial 16S ribosomal RNA
Rfam family: Bacterial small subunit ribosomal RNA
Source: RNAcentral